Molecule: long non-coding RNA, 288 nt
Filed under: Vitis vinifera (wine grape)
Lineage: Eukaryota; Viridiplantae; Streptophyta; Magnoliopsida; Vitales; Vitaceae
Description: long non-coding RNA (VVIN_LNC005991)
Source: RNAcentral
CCAACAAACUGCAGCCCCUUUCACAGCAAAGCUGAACCAAAGUAGAACUAGAAUAAACACCAGUAUUAUCUUCACAUGACGCAAGAUUGUUGCAACAAAAAAUUCCUAACACUGUUCUCAAGAUCUCUCAAGAGUCAAAUUCGCAUAGCAGAACAGGCACACUUUCUCUCUCUCCUCAAAGUUUUACCCCAAGUCAUAUAUUGCUAAAUUCACGUGGAUUCAAAGCUGGUCUCUUUUGGCAAAACCACAGCAAUUAAGCAAUCCGAAGGAUUUGGUGCAAUAGAAAGC